UACGUAGGGUGCGAGCGUUAAUCGGAAUUACUGGGCGUAAAGCGUGCGCAGGCGGUUCGUUAAGUUCGAUGUGAAAGCCCCGGGCUCAACCUGGGAAUUGCAUUGGAAACUGGCGGGCUUGAGUGUGGCAGAGGGGGGUGGAAUUCCACGUGUAGCAGUGAAAUGCGUAGAGAUGUGGAGGAACACCGAUGGCGAAGGCAGCCCCCUGGGCUAACACUGACGCUCAGGCACGAAAGCGUGGGGAGCAAACAGG
This 253-nucleotide ribosomal RNA is filed under the name uncultured bacterium. RNAcentral describes it as "partial 16S ribosomal RNA". It matches the Rfam family "Bacterial small subunit ribosomal RNA", at positions 524 to 776 of the family's 1533-position model. RNAcentral also lists the same sequence under 1 other name. The record is from RNAcentral.